This 253-nucleotide ribosomal RNA is filed under the name uncultured bacterium. Its description in RNAcentral is "partial 16S ribosomal RNA". It matches the Rfam family "Bacterial small subunit ribosomal RNA", at positions 524 to 776 of the family's 1533-position model. The record is from RNAcentral.
UACGGGGGGGGCAAGCGUUGUUCGGAAUUACUGGGCGUAAAGGGCUCGUAGGCGGCCCACUAAGUCAGACGUGAAAUCCCUCGGCUUAACCGGGGAACUGCGUCUGAUACUGGAUGUCUUGAGUUCGGGAGAGGGAUGCGGAAUUCCAGGUGUAGCGGUGAAAUGCGUAGAUAUCUGGAGGAACACCGGUGGCGAAGGCGGCAUCCUGGACCGAUACUGACGCUGAGGAGCGAAAGCCAGGGGAGCAAACGGG